Daucus carota subsp. sativus is the source of this 1016-nucleotide long non-coding RNA. RefSeq lists it as uncharacterized. The transcript has 2 exons. Lineage: Eukaryota; Viridiplantae; Streptophyta; Magnoliopsida; Apiales; Apiaceae. The record is from RefSeq and is a predicted model, not a curated record.
UUUCAUUGAAUCAUAAAGAAUACAAAAUCGAAAGCAAUUUAAUAUGUGCCUGUUUGUUUUGGAGAAGUACAAGCAGCUUCUGUCUUCUGCUUUUGUUGACCCGUUUGUGUGAAUUAGUAGAAGCAUUUUUAAGAAGCUGAGAAUGGUAACUUCUCUAUCAGAGCUUCUACAUCUUUUCCAAACACUUUAUUAACUUAUUUACUUCUCACUUCUAAUCCACUUUUUUACUUAAAACAUGAAAUCAUUUUUUUUAAGUUUUCCCAAACGGGCCCUAUAUGAGUUUCAAAAUUUCUUUGUCGUUUGGUCUGCCAAUUGCAUUUGUUCUUCUCAUUAACUCGGAAGUGGCCGCUGAAACUACAAGCAAGUCUGCUGAGGGAGACAAUGGAGGAGCUGACCUUAAGAACAUUGCAUGCAUGUGUUUAAGAAGUGGCUUCUGUUGCCCUCCUCGUGAUAGAGUAUAUAUUUACAUAUAUUCUAAAUGAUUUUAUUCUCAUAUUUAAUUGUAUUUUGCAUUUAAUUAGAUAUUUAUUUAAUAGAUUACAAUGUUUUAUUGUCGGAAGCAAGGAGUUCCUAAAGUUUGAAGGAAUUGGAGUAAAGAGCUUAAUUUGAAGAUAAAUUAGAAGGAAAUUCGGAUUUGUUGGAUUGCUUGAACACGACUCACUGUUUGGGGCCGUAUCUUGAGUUCUAGAAGUCAGAAUUGGGUCAUAUUACAACCCACGCGAAGCUUAGAUAAUUUUCUUUAAUUCAGAGAUGAUCCAAUAUCUGAAAUCCAACCCCAGAAACAGGGGAGAAAAAUCUGUUACGAAUUUUCCAUGAAGAAACUAAUUCCGUUUGUGAAACUGAUUUAUAUUUCCUUAUAAGCAUUAAAAUCAUAUAUUUAUAGGGAUAGACAUUAGAUCGAAGGAGGAUUAUAUUGUAUAAUUAGGUUAGGUUAAAAAUACUUCUGUUUGCUUGUUCUUCAAGACUUCGGGCUUGGAGAUUCCAUUGUACAAUCCAACUUUAUUUUCUUUUAUUAA